Molecule: long non-coding RNA, 965 nt
Organism: Clupea harengus (Atlantic herring)
Lineage: Eukaryota; Metazoa; Chordata; Actinopteri; Clupeiformes; Clupeidae
Source: Ensembl
UGCAAAUGCCAUGUUCAGACUUCUAUUGGUGAAUACGAGCGCCUUAAUUUUCACCACCAUGGAUAGCAACAUUUAAAUAACACCGGUUGGAAUUGUGCUGUCCACUCCAGCCUCCAGGAUUUUGCUUUUUCCACUUGGUCCUGCGGUUAUAAAACCAGAUUUUUACUUGGGUUUCCGUCAGGCUGAGAGACAGUGCGAGAAGAUUGAGCCUCUCACAGACGGACAGAUAGCGCGUGGUUUGAAACUUGUUUUCCAGAGCUACCAGCUGUUCGUGCGCGACUCGGUUUUGCACAGCCAUGUGCGGCGGCGUUUGAGUCGUCUUGUGUCAUUUGCGGCCAAGUGCUUUGUUUUAAAAGCGUUCAUCUUAACUUUAUGACUCAAAGUGAUCAAAUUCUAGUGUUGACUAUUGUGAGAGCAAAUGCAGGUUAACGAGAUGGUGCAUACCAUGGAUAUGCUCCUGGGCGAGUUCCACGAUUACCAGACUGCGUGGGAUAUCCCCUGAUGGAUGACGAGCUAUCCAGGAUGAAUAUAUACUGAAGACUCCGUUGCCAUGUCCCUGGCAUACGUAAUGAGGCGAGUAACUUGCCACGAGGGUGUCUGCCACUCGCCACACUGGAGCAUGUUUUGAAUACAAGGAUUGUUGGUGCAUAGGAUGUUCCUCUGGCUUUCUUGGCAUGUGCAGUAUAGAAGGCCUCAAGGAUGAAUAUCUACUGAACACUCCGUUGCCAUGGCCCUGGCAUGCGUAAUGAGGCGAGUAACUUGCCAUGAGGGUGUCUGCCACUCACCAAACUGGAGCACGUUUUGAAUACAAGGAUUGUUGGUGCAUAGGAUGUUCCUCUGGCUGUCUUGGCAUGUGCAGUAUAGCAGGCCUCAAGGUAUGGGACCUUUGAUGAUUUCCCUUCCGAGGCUGUGGGUUCAUUUCAAGUUACUGAAGCCACACCCCAACUGAAAUAAAUAUAUUUGGG